Molecule: ribosomal RNA, 497 nt
Filed under: uncultured bacterium
Lineage: Bacteria
Description: partial 16S ribosomal RNA
Rfam family: Bacterial small subunit ribosomal RNA
Source: RNAcentral
GAUGAACGCUGGCGGCGUGCCUAAUACAUGCAAGUCGAGCGAACAGACGAGGAGCUUGCUCCUCUGACGUUAGCGGCGGACGGGUGAGUAACACGUGGAUAACCUACCUAUAAGACUGGGAUAACUUCGGGAAACCGGAGCCAAUACCGGAUAAUAUAUUGAACCGCAUGGUUCAAUAGUGAAAGACGGUUUUGCUGUCACUUAUAGAUGGAUCCGCGCCGCAUUAGCUAGUUGGUAAGGUAACGGCUUACCAAGGCAACGAUGCGUAGCCGACCUGAGAGGGUGAUCGGCCACACUGGAACUGAGACACGGUCCAGACUCCUACGGGAGGCAGCAGUAGGGAAUCUUCCGCAAUGGGCGAAAGCCUGACGGAGCAACGCCGCGUGAGUGAUGAAGGUCUUCGGAUCGUAAAACUCUGUUAUUAGGAAAGAACAAAUGUGUAAGUAACUAUGCACGUCUUGACGGUACCUAAUCAGAAAGCCACGGCUAACUACGUG